RNAcentral lists this ribosomal RNA (460 nucleotides) under uncultured bacterium. RNAcentral's name for it is "partial 16S ribosomal RNA". It matches the Rfam family "Bacterial small subunit ribosomal RNA", at positions 338 to 795 of the family's 1533-position model. The record is from RNAcentral.
CCUACGGGAGGCAGCAGUGAGGAAUAUUGGUCAAUGGGCGCGAGCCUGAACCAGCCAAGUAGCGUGAAGGAAGACGGCUCUACGGGUUGUAAACUUCUUUUAUAAAGGAAUAAAGUGAGGCACGUGUGCAUUUUUGUAUGUACCUUAUGAAUAAGGAUCGGCUAACUCCGUGCCAGCAGCCGCGGUAAUACGGAGGAUGCGAGCGUUAUCCGGAUUUAUUGGGUUUAAAGGGAGCGUAGAUGGUUUGUUAAGUCAGUUGUGAAAGUUUGUGGCUCAACCGUAAAAUUGCAAUUGAUACUGGAAGCCUUGAGUACGGUUGAGGUAGGCGGAAUGCGUGGUGUAGCGGUGAAAUGCAUAGAUAUCACGCAGAACUCCGAUUGCGAAGGCAGCUUACUAAGCCGUAACUGACACUGAUGCACGAAAGUGUGGGUAUCAAACAGGAUUAGAUACCCUGGUAGUC